RNAcentral lists this ribosomal RNA (512 nucleotides) under Flavobacteriaceae bacterium. Its description in RNAcentral is "bacterial SSU rRNA". It matches the Rfam family "Bacterial small subunit ribosomal RNA", at positions 395 to 903 of the family's 1533-position model. Lineage: Bacteria; Pseudomonadati; Bacteroidota; Flavobacteriia; Flavobacteriales; Flavobacteriaceae. The record is from RNAcentral.
UGCCGCGUGCAGGAAGACUGCCCUAUGGGUUGUAAACUGCUUUUAUAGGGGAAGAACCCCCUCCACGUGUGGAGGGCUGACGGUACCCUACGAAUAAGGAUCGGCUAACUCCGUGCCAGCAGCCGCGGUAAUACGGAGGAUCCAAGCGUUAUCCGGAAUCAUUGGGUUUAAAGGGUCCGUAGGCGGGCAGUUAAGUCAGUGGUGAAAGUCCUCCGCUCAACGGGGGAACUGCCAUUGAUACUGAUUGUCUUGAGUCACUGUGAAGUGGUUGGAAUGAGUAGUGUAGCGGUGAAAUGCAUAGAUAUUACUCAGAACACCUAUUGCGAAGGCAGAUCACUAACAGUGCACUGACGCUGAUGGACGAAAGCGUAGGUAGCGAACAGGAUUAGAUACCCUGGUAGUCUACGCCGUAAACGAUGGUCACUAGCUGUCCGGCCCAAUUGAGGGCUGGGUGGUUAAGCGAAAGUGAUAAGUGACCCACCUGGGGAGUACGUUCGCAAGAAUGAAACUCA